This 1914-nucleotide ribosomal RNA is filed under the name Parasagitta elegans. Its description in RNAcentral is "SSU rRNA". It matches the Rfam family "Eukaryotic small subunit ribosomal RNA". Lineage: Eukaryota; Metazoa; Chaetognatha; Sagittoidea; Aphragmophora; Sagittidae. The record is from RNAcentral.
AAAGAUUAAGCCAUGCAAGUGUCAGCACAUGCCGCCAAAUGGCUAAGCCGCGAACGGCUCAUUAAAUCAGCUAUGGUUCCUUAGAUCUUCGGCCGCGUCCUCGGACGUGGCGUUUGGAUAACUGUGGUAAUUCUAGAGCUAAUACAUGCCUGACGCCGUCGGGNCCCGCGAGGUCGCGACGUCUUUAUGCCGUCAAGACCAGCCGGCGCACGCGUCUUCGGACGUGGCGGCCGACCUCUUUGAUGAACUCUGGAUAACUCCACUUGACCGCACGGCCUUGCGCCGGCGGCUGAUCUAAUAAAUGUCUGCCUUAUCAACUGUCGACGGUAGGAGCCCGGCCUACCGUGGUGAUAACGGGUAGCGGGGAAUAAGGGUUCUAUACCGGAGAGGGAGCAUGAGAAACGGCUACCACAUCCAAGGAAGGCAGCAGGCACGCAAAUUACCCACUCCCGGCACGGGGAGGUAGUGACGAUCAAUAACGAUGCGGGACUCUGACGAGGCUCCGUAAUCGGAAUGGGCGUAAUUUAAAUCCUUCGACGAGGAUCAAGUGGAGGGCAAGUCUGGUGCCAGCAGCCGCGGUAAUUCCAGCUCCACUAGCGUAUAUUAAAGUUGCUGCAGUUAAAAAGCUCGUAGUCGGAUCUCGGGAUCGUGUCGGCGUCUUUGUUGCUUCUUCUGCGUUUCGGCGUCGGAGUUGUGGCAGGUCGUCGGCCCUGUCGGCGAGGUCCCACCUUUGGUGGGUNUCCACCUCGCUCGUGCAGCCCGCCGUCGCGUUUGGGCGGGUGUCCUUAAUUGGAUGCCCGCUCUCGAACGUGGCCCGUUUACCUUGAACAAAUCGGAGUGCUCAAAGCAGGCUCUUCAUCGCUCGAACGGUAGCGCAUGGAAUAAUGGAAGAGGACCGGCUUCCGCUUCUGUUGGUCUCACGGAGGCAGGUAAUGAUCAAGAGGUACGGAUGGGGGCAGAGGUAUGGCUCGGCGAGAGGUGAAAUUCUUGGACCCUAGCCAGACCCUCGAGAGCGAAAGCAUCUGCCAAAGAUGUUUCCAUUGAUCAAGAACGAAAGUCGCGGGAUCGAACGGGAUUAGAUACCCCGGUAGUCGCGACCGUAAACGAUGCCAACCGGGAAUUCGGCGGCGUUACUUCCAUGACCCGUCGAGCGCCCGACCCGGGAAACCGAGAGUCUUUGGGUUCCGGGGGGAGUAUGGUUGCAAAGCUGAAACUUAAAGGAAUUGACGGAAGGGCACCACCAGGAGUGGAGCCUGCGGCUUAAUUUGACUCAACACGGGGAACCUCACCCGGCCCGGACACCGCGAGGAUUGACAGACUGAGAGCUCUUUCUCGAUUCGGUGGGUGGUGGUGCAUGGCCGUUCUUAGUUGGUGGACGAUCUGUCUGGUUAAUUCCGAUAACGAACGAGACCCCAACCUGCUAACUAGCCCUCGGGUCCUGCUUCUGUUGGGCCCGACGGAAUGAUUCGCUUCUUAGAGGGACUCGCGGCGNCUAGCCGCACGAAGGGGGGNGAUAACAGGUCUGUGAUGCCCUUAGAUGUUCGGGGCUGCACGCGCGCUACACUGAAGGCAUCAGCGWGCGCUUUGUCCGUUCCCUGCCUGAAAAGGCUGGGUAACCCGCUGAACCGCCUUCGUGCCUGGGAUAGGGAUUUGCAAUUAUCUCCCUUGAACGAGGAAUUCCCAGUAGGCGCGAGUCAUCAGCKCGCGUCGAUUACGUCCCUGCCCUUUGUACACACCGCCCGUCGCUACUACCGAUCGAACGAUGUAGUGAGGUCCUCGGACUGGCAUGUACUCGGAAGCCGGGUUCGCUCGGUAGAAGAGCUUGUUUGCCGGGAAGAGAACCAAACUGAAUCGUUUAGAGGAAGUAAAAGUCGUAACAAGGUUUCCGUAGGUGAACCUGCGGAAGGAUCAUUA